GAUGAAGAACGCAGCGAAAUGCGAUAAGUAAUGUGAAUUGCAGAAUUCAGUGAAUCAUCGAAUCUUUGAACGCACCUUGCGCCCUUUGGACAUUCCGAAGGGCAUGCCUGUUUGAGUAUCAUGAACACCUCAACUCUCACGGCUUGUCCGUGAUGAGCUUGGACUUUGGGGGUCUUGCCGGCCUGUGGUCGGCUCCUCUCAAAUGGAUCAGCUUGCCAGUGUUUGGUGGCAUCACAGGUGUGAUAACUAUCUGCGCUUGUGGUUUUCCAUCAGAUAACCUUCAGUGAUAUGGAGGUUCGCUGGAGCUCACAAAUGGCUCUCCUUAGUGAGGACAGCUCUUUGAACGUUUGAUCUCAAAUCAGGUAGGACUACCCGCUGAACUUAAGCAUAUCAAUAAGCGGAGGA
This 405-nucleotide unclassified non-coding RNA is filed under the name soil metagenome. RNAcentral's name for it is "partial contains 5.8S ribosomal RNA, internal transcribed spacer 2, and large subunit ribosomal RNA". The stretch from base 1 to 121 matches the Rfam family "5.8S ribosomal RNA", at positions 35 to 154 of the family's 154-position model. The record is from RNAcentral.